UUUCCGUAGGUGAACCUGCGGAAGGAUCAUUAUUGUAUAACCGAGGUGCGAGGGCUGUCGCUGACCCGACAGGUCGUGCACGCCCGAGUGCCCUCACACACAUCGAUCUCACCCCUAUGUGCACCACCGCGUGGGUCCCCCUUUGGCUUGUUCGGAGGGGGGCUUACGUUUUCACACAAUCUUUGUAUGCAGUGUAGAAUGUAUUUUUUGUUUUUGCGAUCACGCAAUCGAUACAACUUUCAACAACGGAUCUCUUGGCUCUC
Molecule: unclassified non-coding RNA, 263 nt
Filed under: plant metagenome
Description: partial contains small subunit ribosomal RNA, internal transcribed spacer 1, and 5.8S ribosomal RNA
Source: RNAcentral